Molecule: ribosomal RNA, 143 nt
Filed under: uncultured eukaryote
Lineage: Eukaryota
Description: partial 18S ribosomal RNA
Rfam family: Eukaryotic small subunit ribosomal RNA
Source: RNAcentral
CGGUGGAGUGAUUUGUCUGGUUGAUUCCGAUAACGGACGAGACCUCAGCGUGUUCGUUGGGUCCUGCCAAUUUCGAUUGGUUUUGAGGACUCUCUUAGACGGACUAUCGUCGUUUUAGACGGUGGAAGUUUGAGGCAAUAACA